AAAAACAGACGGAAGUACCAUGAAUGUAAAAAGCAAGUUUAUGGAAUUGUGAAAAGAGAACUGUAAAGACCGGAAUUCAGGUAUCAUAAGGUUGUGAGCAUGGCAAGGGCAUACAGGAAAGAAACAUGCUACUCUACAAGUUAACAAUGUAAGAUGGAAAUGAGAGACAGAAAAAGAAGCAAUGAAUGUUAAUUUGAACUAAUAUUUCUGUUCUUUUAAAAACUGAUUGAGACGAAUAAAGCAGGAAGAUCAAUUUAUUGACCUUUUGUUUCUUCUUACCAGUAACAAUUGGAGCACAACAAGAUGACAUAAACAUUCCGUAUUAACAUCACAUGUUUAUACUAAAUAAAUAUAGUGCACACAGAGGAAUUCCACUUGUUUGCAUUUCCAGAGGAACACUAUCGCCAUCACUAGGAGAGUAGAAUUACGCAAAAAGAUAAAGCAGCACAAGGACUACUAGCCAAGUAGUAAGAUCUUAGUUCACAGUACAUACAGUUCCAUUCCAUAUUAAAGUAUAAAGAAAAACAGUUACAAACUACAGUUGCUUAUUUUUCACCUUUAACAUGGCUUUGAUUGCAGGAACUUCCAAGUGAAAGUUCUGGUCAAAUCUAAAAGAGAAUCACUGUUUAGAGCGUAGAUGAAAUUAAAUUUACUAACUAGUUAAGUCAAAUAACAGUUGCAGCAUGGAAGUUAGAAAUGAGAAUCAAAGCUGAACAUGUGCUUUAACAAAGUUUGGUGGACUCGAUCAAUAUUGCUUGCUUCUAAGUUAUUAAUUGUCCUUGCUGAAACUAGCUUAAUAAAGAGACACAGAACAAUUCAAACUUACGACUAUUUUCUUUCAGCACAGUCAUAUUACUGGACUAUUUAGUGUGUGUCAUAUGUUGCUCCAAGUUUCCAAAAAUGUUGCCACACACAUGUCGGAUCUUCCAAAUGGCACUAGCUUUGAAGGAUCCGGCAAGUAACUCUCGACAUUAUUGAAGAAUCCAAGCAAACAGACUGUGACUAUGGUUCCAUUUUACAAGGAUAUGUCUGUUUUGAUAAUUUCCAUCACUGAUAAUAAGAACUUUUGGUAAGUUCGUGUCACGAUUCCAAAACAAUCAGUACAUUUCUGAUGAUCAUUUGGCCCCUUCGACAAAAUAAUCUGCACCAGAUUUGGACCACACAACUUUCAUUCAACCAUCAUAAAUCAGAUCGAAUAAACCAUCAUUUUAAAUCAGCUGGAUUACACCAUUCACGAUAUUCAUGUUUGAAACCAAGGUAUUCAAAGUACUCGAGUUCGUAAAGUUAUAAUAUCAUUCUAAAAGUGUACAAAUGAUCCUCCACCAAAGGUAUCUUACUCCUCCAUAAUGAUGGCAACAAACAUGGUGCAUGAACCGUUUGGUAAGUUUUCUAUUGUAUGUGGGGAUGCAGGGCAAUAUAUUCCAAAGAAGGUACAAACACAAAAGCUUUACAGAAAACUGUCAUUCAUCUUCACUGAUAGUGCAGUUUUCAACCGUAUACAUUUGGACAUUCUUGGCUAGUAUUUCAAGACCCCUCUAUGUUGUACUUCCCUCUCUUACCCUACAUGUAAGAAUUAUUCUCCUCUUUAGUGCAGAAGGGCAAGGUGAAGGCUUUUUAGACUAAAGGUGGUUGCAUUACUUUAUAUCAGUCUGUUCGGAUUUAAACUUUUUGGUUUAGGCCUCUAAAUGGACCGCAUCAUUCAAAAUUCAGAACAACCAAUAUAGUGCUUGACAGAUAAGAAACAGAACUUAUGUUUAUUGUUUGUGGCUUCUGGUGUCGCAUAAAAAUCACAAAACACUCAAACUAGAAAUGAGGAAAACUUUAUCUAUUGACAUACAAGAAGAACCCAAAAAUGAAGAGAAAGCAAA
Non-coding RNA from Solanum lycopersicum (tomato), 1868 nucleotides. Lineage: Eukaryota; Viridiplantae; Streptophyta; Magnoliopsida; Solanales; Solanaceae. The record is from RefSeq and is a predicted model, not a curated record.